This 460-nucleotide ribosomal RNA is filed under the name uncultured bacterium. Its description in RNAcentral is "partial 16S ribosomal RNA". It matches the Rfam family "Bacterial small subunit ribosomal RNA", at positions 338 to 795 of the family's 1533-position model. The record is from RNAcentral.
CCUACGGGAGGCAGCAGUGAGGAAUUUUGGUCAAUGGCCGCAAGGCUGAACCAGCCAAGUCGCGUGAAGGAAGAAGGAUCUAUGGUUGGUAAACUUCUUUUAUAGAGGAGUAAAGGUAUCAAAGUGAGGAUAUGUGCAUUUACCCUAUGAAACAGCAUCGGCUAACCCCGUGCCAGCAGCCGCGGUGAUACGGAGGAUGCGAGCGUUGUCCGGAUUUAUUGGGUUUAAAGGGUGCGUAGGUCGUUGUUUAAGUCAGCUGUGAAAGUUUGUGGCUCAACCAAAAAAUGGCCGUUGAAACUGGAAGACUUGAGUGUGUUUGAGGUAGGCGGAAUGCGUGGUGUAGCGGUGAAAUGCAUAGAUAUAACGCAGAACACCGAUUGCGAAGGCAGCUUACUAAGCCAUAACUGACACUGAAGCACGAAAGCGUGGGGAUCAAACAGGAUUAGAUACCCUUGUAGUC